Molecule: ribosomal RNA, 250 nt
Filed under: uncultured bacterium
Lineage: Bacteria
Description: partial 16S ribosomal RNA
Rfam family: Bacterial small subunit ribosomal RNA
Source: RNAcentral
UACAGAGGGUGCAAGCGUUGUUCGGAAUUAUUGGGCGUAAAGCGCGUGUAGGCGGCCUAUCAAGUCGGGUGUGAAAGCCCUCAGCUUAACUGAGGAAGUGCGACCGAAACUGAUGGGCUUGAGUGCCUGAGAGGGUGGCGGAAUUCCGCAAGUAGAGGUGAAAUUCGUAGAUAUCGGGAGGAACACCAGUGGCGAAGGCGAGUCUCUGGGUUGAUACUGACGCUGAUGCGCGAAAGCCAGGGGAGCAAAC